GUGCCGGUUGACUAUAAAGAGCCUUCAUCAAUGGAUCUCUGAUAACAUGAUCAAACAUGGACCAAAAGCGUAGAUUCACUUACUUUCCCCCACGGAAUUGGAAAUUCUAAUGAACGCGUAUGCCGAGCAGUUACCCAUUUUAACAACAAAAAGCAAUACCGCCGCGGCAGCGAGAGAGCUUGGCAGGAAAUUGCUGAUCAAGUCAAUGCGAACUACCCGAGUUGCUCCAAGAGGACUUGGCAGCAAAUGAAGAUGAAGUACAAAAAUAUAGUUCAAACAGGGUCUGAACUCUAUCAGGGACACCCCACCAGUCAUAGGAGGCCUUCAUGACCAGCAUCUCAGUGUGGACGGAGAUCAG
Long non-coding RNA from Gadus chalcogrammus (walleye pollock), 358 nucleotides. RefSeq lists it as uncharacterized. The transcript is spliced from 4 exons. Lineage: Eukaryota; Metazoa; Chordata; Actinopteri; Gadiformes; Gadidae. The record is from RefSeq and is a predicted model, not a curated record.